UGCCCUAGUAACGGCGAGUGAAGCGGCAACAGCUCAAAUUUGAAAUCUGGCCUUCGGGUCCGAGUUGUAAUUUGUAGAGGAUGCUUUUGGUGCGGUACCUUCCGAGUUCCCUGGAACGGGACGCCAUAGAGGGUGAGAGCCCCGUCUGGUUGGAUACCAAUCCUCUGUAAAGCUCCUUCGACGAGUCGAGUAGUUUGGGAAUGCUGCUCUAAAUGGGAGGUAUAUGUCUUCUAAAGCUAAAUACCGGCCAGAGACCGAUAGCGCACAAGUAGAGUGAUCGAAAGAUGAAAAGCACUUUGAAAAGAGAGUUAAAAAGUACGUGAAAUUGUUGAAAGGGAAGCGCUUGUGACCAGACUUGGGCUUGGUUGAUCAUCCUGGGUUCUCCCUGGUGCACUCUUCCAGUCCAGGCCAGCAUCAGUUUGUUUCGGGGGAUAAAGGCUUCGGGAAUGUGGCUCCCUCGGGAGUGUUAUAGCCCGUUGUGUAAUACCCUGAAGCAGACUGAGGUUCGCGCUCUGCAAGGAUGCUGGCGUAAUGGUCAUCAGCGACCCGUCUUGAAACACGGACCAAGGAGUCGUCUUCGUAUGCGAGUGUUCGGGUGUUAAACCCCUACGCGUAAUGAAAGUGAACGCAGGUGAGAGCUUCGGCGCAUCAUCGACCGAUCCUGAUGUUCUCGGAUGGAUUUGAGUAAGAGCAUACGGGGCCGGACCCGAAAGAAGGUGAACUAUGCCUGUAUAGGGUGAAGCCAGAGGAAACUCUGGUGGAGGCUCGCAGCGGUUCUGACGUGCAAAUCGAUCGUCAAAUAUGGGCAUGGGGGCGAAAGACUAAUCGAA
This 830-nucleotide ribosomal RNA is filed under the name Gliocladiopsis aquaticus. RNAcentral's name for it is "LSU rRNA". It matches the Rfam family "Eukaryotic large subunit ribosomal RNA", at positions 76 to 939 of the family's 3401-position model. Lineage: Eukaryota; Fungi; Ascomycota; Sordariomycetes; Hypocreales; Nectriaceae. The record is from RNAcentral.